This 309-nucleotide ribosomal RNA is filed under the name uncultured eukaryote. RNAcentral describes it as "partial 18S ribosomal RNA". It matches the Rfam family "Eukaryotic small subunit ribosomal RNA", at positions 1470 to 1796 of the family's 1831-position model. The record is from RNAcentral.
CCCUUAGAUGUUCUGGGCGGCCCGCGCACUACAAUGGCGUGUGCAGCGAGUGCCGAAGUAGAGUUUUCCGAGGUAUUCUUGCAAUGCUCGUUUUGAUGGGGAUAGACCCUUGCAACUGUUGGUUUUGAACGAGGAAUUCCUUGUAAGCAUGGUUUAUCAUCCGACGCUGAAUGCGUCCCUGCCCUUUGUACACACCGCCCGUCGCUCCUACCGAUGAGUCGUCCGGUGAAGUUCGUAGACCUCGUGAUUGCGGAUCACUGGGGGAAGCAAAAUGAACCUCGCGGUUUAGAGGAAGGAGAAGUCGUAACA